Non-coding RNA from Chlorocebus sabaeus (green monkey), 961 nucleotides. The record is from RefSeq and is a predicted model, not a curated record. NCBI's taxonomy places the organism in Eukaryota, Metazoa, Chordata, Mammalia, Primates, Cercopithecidae.
UUUUUUUUUGUAUUUUUAGUAGAGACCAAGUUUCACCAUGUUGGCCAGGCUGGUCUCGAACUCCUGGCCUCAAGUGAUCACCCGUCUCUGCCUCUCAAAGUGCUGGGAUGACAGGCGUGAGCCACCACACCCAGCCACAGCUGCUAUUAAUCAUCCUCAUAAAGGUAGUUCCAAAUACAGGCUCUGGAUGGAGUGAUAGGAUGUCUCCUGUCUCCUAAAGCUGACAAUUUUUGUAUGGCUGAUUGAACAAGCACCCUGGAAAAUGACAGAUACCGCUUUCCCCAGGCUGAGCAGAUGAGCUCUGAGAUCAAUUUGAAUCUUGUACAACUCCGGCCUCACCAUUCCUCUGUUUCGUGGUAACCCUUAUGUGACCAUUCCUCCGAGGGAAACCAAGAGCGUGAUUCUGGAGAAGUUCGCCUGUGCUCCUUGAUACCUGAUUGUGCAAUUUCCUGCAGCCUGGAGACACCUCUUAGUAGGCGGAGAAACUGCGUGGAUUGCCGGAGAGCCGUAACGCCCUGGCUGCAGAAGCCCUGUCAUUGGAGCUGUCGUCGUCGUCUCCCCACAGCGAGAAAGCUUUUGCAAGUUUCAUCUCAUCAUUGAGAAAGCUUUCAGAGACUUCAAAGAAAGUAUUUGGUGCUGAGCUUUUCCCUUCCACCCAGUGAACAAUGUGCCCACAGUGCUUGUAACAAAACAGUCUGUGGCUGGUGCCGUUCAGAUCCCAACUUGGUGUAAAAGCCGUGCCUCGGAGGAAACGUAACUGAGUUUUAAAUAGUCCCCUCUUUUUUUUUUUUUGGUUUUUGGUUUUGUCGUUUAUUGUGUAGUAAAAGUCUACAACUGUUUAGUGAUUUUGUUGUUUGGUAAUUAUCAUAUUAUGCCAUAAGCUUUUUCAUAAUCAGUGAGCUAUAAAGAUGACACUGUAUCCAAUAGAAACUAAGCUUCCUAAAAAAAAAAUCUGACCAAC